RNAcentral lists this ribosomal RNA (349 nucleotides) under uncultured bacterium. RNAcentral describes it as "bacterial SSU rRNA". It matches the Rfam family "Bacterial small subunit ribosomal RNA", at positions 29 to 367 of the family's 1533-position model. The record is from RNAcentral.
AACGAACGCUGGCGGCGCGCCUAAUACAUGCAAGUCGAACGAGAAGGUGUAGCAAUACACUUGCACAGUGGCGAACGGGUGAGGAAUGCAUGGGUAACCUACCCUCGAGUGGGGAAUAACCAGCCGAAAGGUUGGCUAAUACCGCGUACGUUUCCCGGUCUGCGGAUCGGGAAAGAAAGUCAUACCAUGGGUAUGACGCUCAAGGAUGGGCUCAUGUCCUAUCAGCNGUUGGUAGGGUAACGGCCUACCAAGGCUCCGACGGGUAGCCUGGUCUGAGAGGGACGAUCAGCCACACUGGCACUGCGACACGGGCCAGGACUCCUACGGGAGGCAGCAGUAAGGAUAUUGC